AGUGAACGCUGGCGGUAGGCCUAACACAUGCAAGUCGAACGGCAGCACAGUAAGAGCUUGCUCUUACGGGUGGUGAGUGGCGGACGGGUGAGGAAUACAUCGGAAUCUACUUUUUCGUGGGGGAUAACGUAGGGAAACUUACGCUAAUACCGCAUACGACCUACGGGUGAAAGCAGGGGAUCUUCGGACCUUGCGCGAUUGAAUGAGCCGAUGUCGGAUUAGCUAGUUGGCGGGGUAAAGGCCCACCAAGGCGACGAUCCGUAGCUGGUCUGAGAGGAUGAUAAGCCACACUGGAACUGAGACACGGUCAAGACUCCCACGGGAGGCAGCAGUGGGGAAUAUUGGACAAUGGGGGCAAGCCUGAUCCAGCCAUACCGCGUGGGUGAAGAAGGCCUUCGGGUUGGAAAGCCCUUUUGUUGGGAAAGAAAAGCAGCAGGUUAAUACCCCGCUGUUCUGACGGUACCCAAAGAAUAAGCACCGGCUAACUUCAUG
Molecule: ribosomal RNA, 492 nt
Filed under: uncultured bacterium
Lineage: Bacteria
Description: partial 16S ribosomal RNA
Rfam family: Bacterial small subunit ribosomal RNA
Source: RNAcentral